This 463-nucleotide ribosomal RNA is filed under the name uncultured bacterium. RNAcentral describes it as "bacterial SSU rRNA". It matches the Rfam family "Bacterial small subunit ribosomal RNA", at positions 27 to 507 of the family's 1533-position model. The record is from RNAcentral.
GAACGAACGCUGGCGGCAUGCCUAACACAUGCAAGUCGAACGGGAUCUUCGGAUCUAGUGGCGGACGGGUGAGUAACGCGUGGGAACGUGCCCUUUGGUUCGGAAUAGGCCCCGGGAAACUGGGAGUAAUACCGGAUGAGCCCUUCGGGGGGAAAGAUUUAUCGCCAAAGGAUCAGCCCGCGUUGGAUUAGGUAGUUGGUGGGGUAAUGGCCUACCAAGCCGACGAUCCAUAGCUGGGUUUGAGAGGACCGAUCAGACACACUGGAACUGAGACACGGUCCAGACUCCUACGGGAGGCAGCAGUGGGGAAUUUUGGACAAUGGGCGCAAGCCUGAUCCAGCAAUGCCGCGUGCAGGAAGAAGGCCUUCGGGUUGUAAACUGCUUUUGUACGGAACGAAACGGUCUGGGCUAAUACCCCGGGCUAAUGACGGUACCGUAAGAAUAAGCACCGGCUAACUACGUG